This 590-nucleotide ribosomal RNA is filed under the name Carabus problematicus. RNAcentral describes it as "LSU rRNA". It matches the Rfam family "Bacterial large subunit ribosomal RNA", at positions 1921 to 2743 of the family's 2925-position model. The record is from RNAcentral. Lineage: Eukaryota; Metazoa; Arthropoda; Insecta; Coleoptera; Carabidae.
UUUUAAAUGGCCGCAGUAUUUUGACUGUGCAAAGGUAGCAUAAUCAUUAGUUUUUUAAUUAAAAGCUUGUAUGAAAGGCUGGACGAGGUAAAAUCUGUCUCUAUUUAAAUUAUAGUAGAAUUUAACUUUUAAGUCAAAAGGCUUAAAUGUUAUUAAAAGACGAGAAGACCCUAUAGAUCUUUAUAGUUUAUUAAAUUAAAUUAAUUUAGAAAUGUUAAUGUUUUAUUUAAUUAAGUUAUUUUAUUGGGGUAAUAAAAAGAUUGAAUUAAUUCUUUUUUAUAAUAAACAUUAAUUUAUGAAUAUUAAUGAUCCAGUUUUACUGAUUAUAAGAUUAAGUUACCUUAGGGAUAACAGCGUAAUUUUUUUAGAGAGUUCAUAUCGAUAAAAAAGUUUGCGACCUCGAUGUUGGAUUAAAGAUUAUUUUAGGUGUAGAAGCUUAAUAAUUUUGGUCUGUUCGACCAUUAAAUCUUUACAUGAUCUGAGUUCAGACCGGCGUAAGCCAGGUCGGUUUCUAUCUUUAAUAAAACAAAAUAUUUUAGUACGAAAGGACCAAAUAUUUGAUAUAUUUAUAUUUAAYUCAUUGAAUAUUA